RNAcentral lists this ribosomal RNA (206 nucleotides) under uncultured bacterium. Its description in RNAcentral is "partial 16S ribosomal RNA". It matches the Rfam family "Bacterial small subunit ribosomal RNA", at positions 1294 to 1500 of the family's 1533-position model. The record is from RNAcentral.
CGGAUCGCAGGCUGCAACCCGCCUGCGUGAAGUUGGAAUCGCUAGUAAUCGCGGAUCAGCAUGCCGCGGUGAAUACGUUCCCGGGCCUUGUACACACCGCCCGUCACACCAUGAGAGUCGGGAACACCCGAAGUCCGUAGCCUAACCGCAAGGGGGCGCGGCCGAAGGUGGGUUCGAUAAUUGGGGUGAAGUCGUAACAAGGUAAC